UACGGAGGGUGCAAACGUUGCUCGGAAUCAUUGGGCGUAAAGCGCACGUAGGCGGCGAAGCAAGUUGGGUGUGAAAGCCCUGGGCUCAACCCAGGAAGUGCAUUCAAAACUGCUUCGCUUGAAUCUCGGAGGGGGUCAGAGAAUUCCCGGUGUAGAGGUGAAAUUCGUAGAUAUGCGGAGGAACACCAGUGGCGAAGGCGGCUAACUGGACCAUUCUUGACGCUGAGGGACGAAAGCGUGGGGAGCAAACAGG
This 253-nucleotide ribosomal RNA is filed under the name uncultured bacterium. RNAcentral's name for it is "partial 16S ribosomal RNA". It matches the Rfam family "Bacterial small subunit ribosomal RNA", at positions 524 to 776 of the family's 1533-position model. The record is from RNAcentral.